UCCCAAAUUUACACUCUCUGGGCAUAAUAGAACAAUAUAAUUAGGUUUUACGCUUUGUUCGAUAGAAUGAGAAAAAGUACUCGUUGCAAAGUUAUACUGUUUGGGCGCAAUUGAGUAUUGUAAUGUGGUUCCGGUUUUAAUUCUUGUGAACGUUGACAUGAAAUCGUUCCAAAUUUACACUCUCGGGACAUAAUAGAAAAAUAUAAUUAGGUUUUACUCUUUGUUCGAUAGAAUUAGAAAAAGUACUCGUUGCAAAGUUAUACUAUUAGGGUGCAACUGGGUAGUCUAAUGUUGUUCCGGUUUUUCUUCUUGUGAACGUUGAUAUCGAUUCGUUCCAAAUUUACACUCUCUGGGCAUAAUAGAAUAAUAUAAUUAGGUUUUACGCUUUGUUCGAUAGAAUGAGAAAAAGUACUCAUUGCAAAGUUAUACUGUUAGGGCGCAACUGAGUAGUCUAAUGUUGUUCCGGUUUUUGUUCUUGUGAACGUUGACAUCGAUUAGUUCCAAAUUCACUCUCAGGGUAUAAUAGAACAAUAUAAUUAGGUUUUACUCUUUGUUCGAUUGAAUGACAAAAAGUACUCGUUGCAAAGUUAAACUGUUAGGACGCAACUGAGUAGUCUAAUGUUGUUCCGGUUUGGUUCUUGUGAACGUUAACAUCGAUUCGUUCCCAAUUUGCACUCUCGGGGCAUAAUAGAACAAUAUAAUUAGGUUUUACUCUUUGUUCGAUUGAAUGAGAAAAAAUACAGUUGCAAAGUUAUACUGUUAGGGCGCAACUGAGUAGUCUAAUGUCGUUGCAAAGUUAUACUGUUAGGGCGUAACUGAGUAGUCUAAUGUUGUUCCGGUUUUGGCUCUUGUGAACGUUGACAUCGAUUCGUUCCAAAUUUACACUAUCGGGGCAUAAUAGAGCAAUAUAAUUAGGUUUUACUCUUUGUUUGAUAGAAUGAGAAAAAGUACUGUUGCAAAGUUAUACUGUUAGGGCGCAACUAAGUAGUCUAAUGUUGUUCCGGUUUUGGUUCUUGUGAACGUCGAC
RNAcentral lists this long non-coding RNA (1027 nucleotides) under Ananas comosus (pineapple). RNAcentral describes it as "long non-coding RNA (ACOM_LNC034252)". The record is from RNAcentral. Lineage: Eukaryota; Viridiplantae; Streptophyta; Magnoliopsida; Poales; Bromeliaceae.